This 253-nucleotide ribosomal RNA is filed under the name uncultured bacterium. Its description in RNAcentral is "partial 16S ribosomal RNA". It matches the Rfam family "Bacterial small subunit ribosomal RNA", at positions 524 to 776 of the family's 1533-position model. The record is from RNAcentral.
UACGUAGGGGGCAAGCGUUGUCCGGAAUCAUUGGGCGUAAAGAGCGUGUAGGCGGCCGGGUAAGUCCGGUGUGAAAACUCGAGGCUUAACCUCGAGAUGUCAUCGGAAACUAUUCGGCUAGAGUCCGGAAGAGGAGAGUGGAAUUCCUGGUGUAGCGGUGAAAUGCGCAGAUAUCAGGAAGAACACCUAUGGCGAAAGCAGCUCUCUGGGACGGUACUGACGCUGAGACGCGAAAGCGUGGGGAGCGAACAGG